UACGGAGGGGGCAAGCGUUGUUCGGAAUUAUUGGGCGUAAAGAGCUCGUAGGCGGUUUGUCGCGUCUGCUGUGAAAACCCGAGGCUCAACCUCGGGCCUGCAGUGGGUACGGGCAGACUAGAGUGCGGUAGGGGAGAGUGGAAUUCCUGGUGUAGCGGUGGAAUGCGCAGAUAUCAGGAGGAACACCGAUGGCGAAGGCAGAUCUCUGGGCCGUAACUGACGCUGAGGAGCGAAAGCAUGGGGAGCGAACAGG
This 253-nucleotide ribosomal RNA is filed under the name uncultured bacterium. RNAcentral describes it as "partial 16S ribosomal RNA". It matches the Rfam family "Bacterial small subunit ribosomal RNA", at positions 524 to 776 of the family's 1533-position model. The record is from RNAcentral.